Molecule: ribosomal RNA, 687 nt
Filed under: Pseudomonas sp. TH220
Lineage: Bacteria; Pseudomonadati; Pseudomonadota; Gammaproteobacteria; Pseudomonadales; Pseudomonadaceae
Description: bacterial SSU rRNA
Rfam family: Bacterial small subunit ribosomal RNA
Source: RNAcentral
GAGAGAAGCUUGCUUCUCUUGAGAGCGGCGGACGGGUGAGUAAUGCCUAGGAAUCUGCCUAGUGGUGGGGGAUAACGUUCGGAAACGGACGCUAAUACCGCAUACGUCCUACGGGAGAAAGCGGGGGAUCUUCGGACCUCGCGCCAUUAGAUGAGCCUAGGUCGGAUUAGCUAGUUGGUGAGGUAAUGGCUCACCAAGGCGACGAUCCGUAACUGGUCUGAGAGGAUGAUCAGUCACACUGGAACUGAGACACGGUCCAGACUCCUACGGGAGGCAGCAGUGGGGAAUAUUGGACAAUGGGCGAAAGCCUGAUCCAGCCAUGCCGCGUGUGUGAAGAAGGUCUUCGGAUUGUAAAGCACUUUAAGUUGGGAGGAAGGGUAGUAACCUAAUACGUUGCUACUUUGACGUUACCGACAGAAUAAGCACCGGCUAACUUCGUGCCAGCAGCCGCGGUAAUACGAAGGGUGCAAGCGUUAAUCGGAAUUACUGGGCGUAAAGCGCGCGUAGGUGGUUCAGUAAGUUGGAAGUGAAAUCCCCGGGCUCAACCUGGGAACUGCUUUCAAAACUGCUGAGCUAGAGUACGGUAGAGGGUGGUGGAAUUUCCUGUGUAGCGGUGAAAUGCGUAGAUAUAGGAAGGAACACCAGUGGCGAAGGCGACCACCUGGACUGAUACUGACACUGAGGUGC